Molecule: RNA transcript, 1537 nt
Organism: Triticum aestivum (bread wheat)
Lineage: Eukaryota; Viridiplantae; Streptophyta; Magnoliopsida; Poales; Poaceae
Exons: 11
Source: RefSeq, a predicted model, not a curated record
UUUCUCAAAAAAAAAAAGGCUCGUCCCAACCGAUUCGUGUUAGGGUCGCCGCCGCCGCCGCCGGCCAAGCCACCCAUCCCCAACUCAUGGCGGCGGCGAGGAUCUGGUGGGGCGAUGCAGUUCCUUCUAAAGUGAAUCAGUGGUGAAAUCCAUCUAUGUAUGAAACAAGAAAAAAAAAAUGCUGGUCUUUCGUGUUUGUUUUCAUUUCUAGCCCCGAGUUGCUAUCUGCGUGCUGCAUCCGACGGACUAUCGUGAUAGUCUUCGGGAUCUGAGGGAAUACAUGUGCCAGGGAUGCUUUCCUUGGAGAAAUCAGGCAAACCUGCAGGUGGGGCAACAAGCGACACCAAUUUAUCAAGACCCCUCUGUUGCUGGAUUAAUGAAUGGUCCACAUGUUGAUUACGACAAUAAUCCAGCUCCUAACAGUGGGAGAAACAUUCUGGGAGCAAUUCAAGUAGAUCAAAUGGCAAUGCAGCACGAGGGACAAUAUUUAGACCCCCAUGUUGGACUUACAAAUGGUCUACAUGCUGAUUACACCAUCAAUCUAGCUUCUAAUACUGAGGGAUUGUUUAUGGGAGGAAACCAAUCAAACCUGCCUAUGGAGCAAUAUUUUGAACCAGUUCAUCCAGAGCCCAGUGUUGGUGGAUUUAUGGAUGGUUCACAUGUUUAUUACACCAAUAAUCUGUCUUCUAACAGUGGGACAAACAUUCUGGGAGCAAAUCAAGCAGAACAGAUGGCAGUGCAGCAUGAGGGACAGUAUUUAGCUUGCAAUAUUUCUAGAUUCGUGAAUGGUUCACAGCCUGACUGCACCACUAAUCCAGUUCCUAACAGUGAUGUAAUUGAAUUUUCCAUUCACAAACUAGAACAAGAUACUCCUAGAGUUGAACUUUUGUGUAGCCACUAUGUUUACCUACAUGUGAUAACUUAAGUUUUAUUCUCCAGUAUUAAGAGAUAAAGAUGUUUUAUUAAGUCAAUUUUGGUUCUUACAUGCUUUCAUUGGUUUGCUGGUUGUGGAGUUAGAUAGGAAAACUUAAUUCAGAAAUCGUGUUGCGAACUAAGGUAUCAAGUCCUUCGAUGUUCUGGUGCACUGAGGUAAACACCAUGCAAUUCGAUUUGAGAAGGUAGAAUGAGGCUGUUAGCACGGAGGACUACUAGCCUACAGACACAUUAGAUAUUGUGCAUCCCGUUCGUAACAUGUUAUAAGAUUACUGAAAAUAUUGUCAAGUGAUAUUAUCUCAACCCCAUGUGUUGCCCUACAAGUCUUGCUAGCUCAAAGAGAGAACCAGCAAUGCAUGCCCUUCUCCAGUAGAGAAAACUUAUGCUUUGCAAGUUCUGGAAAGCACUAUCAUGCUGAAACAGAAACACAGAUGACUCUGCCAUCCAACAGUUACCCUCUGAAUGAUAACAUGUAUUGUAUGACAUGGGAAACUAACAUGACUAAUGACAACGAGUCAUCACUGGAGCCUUUUACCCCGUGGGAGGAAUUUUAUACAGCAUCUGCAUAUGAUCAUACUCAAGAUGGACAUUAAUCAUCCCCUGG